CUGCGCGCAGCAUCCCUUUUAAAGACAUCGCUGGGCACAAAGGCGGUCUCCCAGAGCAGGAUCCUAGGCUGAAACGAAACUUUCUUGGAAUAAGUAAAUAGCAAAGGUUCAGCUCCAUCAUUUUUACUUGUCUCCCCGGUGUGCUCUUCAGGCUGACAGUCCCUUUCACCCUGCUCUCUGCACCUCCCUCUCUGCCUGGUGGGAAGGUGGUUCCUGGGGUGCCAGAGUUCAUUCCUGUGUGCAGAGCCCUGCUCAGCAGAGGAAGCUGUGGGAGGGCCAUCCUGCUGCCCCAGCUGGAUGAAGUAAUCUUGGAGCAUGGGUGCGGUGGUGAAAGACACACACAAUGAAUUUACAUCUCUUGGAUAAAAGGAGAAACCGAAGAAAGAUUUCCCCUCUGAGCUGGCUUUUAUCGUCAGUGCGAACAUCUUAGUCAGCACAAGCUCAGACUUCUAAAAUUGUGCAGCCCUGUGCUGUGAGAACCUCUGCAGCUUCCUGCUUCCCUGCAUCAGCCAAGGAUAAAGGCUCCAGGAGCUGGUGCUCCUCUGGCAGGAAUGGCUGAGCCCAGGCCAGGUGAGUGGCAGGCCCUGAAACUCUGUGUGUGACCCUGCUCCUCUGGAAUGUGGGAAAACACCCUCCCAUUUGAUUUCAACAAAUCACCUCAAGCCAGAUCCUGUAGCAUGUUGAGCAUCAGUGGAUAUAGACUAGAGAACAGAAUUAGCUGGGAGAAUCCUAAUGUUUUGUGAAAUCAUUUCCAUGACACAGAUGUGAUACCAGAGUGGGAUGCUGCAUGUUUAAGUACUCAAGUCUCCAGGAAGCAAGAAUAUGCAGAUACUCUGACUCACUAGAAGAAAAAUUACUUGUAGUGACUCAAACACUUGGAUGCUGUGGAUUCCUAAUUAAUCACUGUGCUCCAUCAUGGGUCCAAAAUCCUCCUUUCAGGACCAGAGAAUGUUUGUGGCCUUGAGGAUUCCUGCUCUGGUGCAGCUGUCUAGGUGGACAUAUUAACCUCUUGCUGCCUGUCUGCAGUAUGGUCUGCAGACCUAAUUAAUUCCCGGGCUGGUAGCAGAAAUGACCUGGUAGGCUCUGAAAGCUUGAUGAUGGUAGUUUUGCCUAAAAGAGGGACUUAGCAGGGAACACUUUGUUGGGGUGACCAUGUGACUUGAGGAAUCCCCAGGAAGGUCUACUGCAGGUUUGGCAGCAAUCUCACGGCCAAGGGGCUGCAGACUCAGACUUUUCUGGGAGGAGUUUGAUCCAGUGGUGUGUUGGAGCUGGGAAACCCUGGGGAACCCUGCAACCCUGCCCUUCUUUUGCAAGAGAACAGUACGAGGUGCCUCCCUCUGCCUUGACGUGCCUGGUCGGCUGGGAAGCUGUUCCCAUUGGGCGAAAGGUGAAAUUUAUGUCUUUCAUAACUUUGUGUUUGGAUUUUGUGCUGUGCUCAUUUUGUACAACGUGGUACAGAACACGAGUAUUAUGCAUUCAGAUAGUUCAUCUCCUCUGCCCUAAGCCCAAAGUGCAUGCUGCUGUCACCACAGGAAAAUAGUGUGACCACGGAUGGAAGCAAAGAAUGCUUCUUUUCAGAGUUUGUGCUAAUUUUGCCCUUAAUUGGUAUGUUACAAACCUAGCAAAUCAUAAAUAAAACCUGAAUUUUCCUUUUUCUAAAACUAGGUCUUAAAAUAUAACUUGACUUAGAUUUGAGUUGAAAAGGCAAGCUUUUGAGAGAGAUGAAGCAUGCCCUCAUGUGGCAAUAUUUUUUCCUUAUAAUACCUGUUUGUUUUGGGUUUAAUCCCCAAAUAAUCUAUUACAACGAGUUAUGUCAUGACGUCAGAGCUGGCAUACAGCGUGGGUGUUGUGAUACAAAGCUGGUGUGCACACAAAAUGUUCAGAAAUAAUUGUAUGAGCUCUAACUCUCCUGUUACUUGAGUCCCUGCAUGAGUGUUUUUAUUCUAAAAUAAGACUAGCUCCACACAGGCGUUCACAAACAAACAAAGGUGUGAAAUAAAACUUGUCCUGUCCUCUGCUCUGUGGGGAAGUCAUUUUCCACAACUGAGAGCAAAGUUUAAAAUUGUUACAAAGUGGACAACUUGGUUUGAAACCAGAAUAAUUGAUUUUGAAGUCGAUUUUAAUCUAAACCAAAAUAAACUGAAAAUUAAAUACACAUUCACAGAGCUGGUGUGAAUAACUCACUGUAAAAAUCAUGGUAUUUGUUGAGCUGCUAGAACUUCCUCAUGUCUAUACAAGGUUUGCAACUAUGUAGAUAAACUUUUGGAAGCCUGGCUCUUCUGUGAGUUUUACAUUUUUUUGACACA
Molecule: long non-coding RNA, 2306 nt
Organism: Melospiza melodia melodia
Lineage: Eukaryota; Metazoa; Chordata; Aves; Passeriformes; Passerellidae
Exons: 3
Source: RefSeq, a predicted model, not a curated record